ACCUUAAAGCUAGCCUAACCAGUCGUAUAAACAUAACCUUAUCAAUUAUACCUACACUACUAUUAUUAAAUUAAAACAUUUUAUACCUUUUAGUAUGGGUGACAGAACAAUAAAUAUUAGCGCAAUAGACUAUGUACCGCAAGGGAAAGCUGAAAAAGAAAUGAAAUAAAUAUUAAAGUAACAAAAAGCAGAGACUCAACCUCGUACCUUUUGCAUCAUGAUUUAGCUAGAUCAACUAGGCAAAGAGAUCUUGAGUCUAUCUUCCCGAAACUAAACGAGCUACUCCGAAGCAGCACAUUAGAGCCAACCCGUCUCUGUGGCAAAAGAGUGGGAGGACUUCCGAGUAGCGGUGACAAACCUAUCGAGUUUAGUGAUAGCUGGUUACCCAAGAAAAGAACUUAAAUUCUGCAUUAAUUUUUUAUCACCAACUAAGAACAUCUUCUUAAGGUUAAAAAUAAGAAUUAAUAGUUAUUUAGAAGGGGUACAGCCCUUCUAAAUUAAGAUACAACUUUUAAAGGUGGGUAAUGAUCACAUUUUAUUAAAGGUUUUUCCCCCAGUAGGCCUAAGAGCAGCCAUCUGUAAAGUAAGCGUCACAGCUCCAGCUUUAUUUUAACCUAUAAUUUAGAUAUUAUCUCACAACCCCCUUACCUGUAUUGGGUUAUUUUAUAUAUUUUUAUAAAAGAACUUAUGCUAAAAUGAGUAAUAAGAGGCCAAACCUCUCCUAACACAAGUGUACAUCAGAAAGAAUUAAAUCACUGAUAAUUAAACGAACCCAGACUGAGGGCAUAAUACUAAUUUAUCAUUAACUAGAAAACCUUAUUUAACUAUUCGUUAACCCUACACAGGAGUGUCCCCAGGAAAGAUUAAAAGGAAAUAAAGGAACUCGGCAAACAUAAACUCCGCCUGUUUACCAAAAACAUCGCCUCUUGCUUAACCACUAUAAGAGGUCCCGCCUGCCCUGUGACAAUGUUUAACGGCCGCGGUAUUUUGACCGUGCGAAGGUAGCGUAAUCACUUGUCUUUUAAAUGGAGACCUGUAUGAAAGGCAUCACGAGAGUUUAACUGUCUCUAUUUCCUAAUCAAUGAAAUUGAUCUUCUCGUGCAGAAGCGAGAAUAUAACCAUUAGACGAGAAGACCCUAUGGAGCUUCAAACACUUAAAUUAAUUAUGUAAAAUUAUAAUCCCACGGGAAUAAAUCAUUUAUACAAUACUCCUAAUUUAACUGUUUUUGGUUGGGGUGACCAAGGGGGAAAACAAAUCCCCCUUAUCGACUGAGUACUCAGUACUUAAAAAUUAGAACGACAGUUCUAAUUAAUAAAACAUUUAACGAAAAAUGACCCAGAAUUUUUUCUGAUCAAUGAACCAAGUUACCCUAGGGAUAACAGCGCAAUCCUUUCCCAGAGUCCCUAUCGCCGAAAGGGUUUACGACCUCGAUGUUGGAUCAGGACAUCCUAAUGGUGCAACCGCUAUUAAGGGUUCGUUUGUUCAACGAUUAAUAGUCCUACGUGAUCUGAGUUCAGACCGGAGAAAUCCAGGUCAGUUUCUAUCUAUGAACUUAUUUUUCCUAGUACGAAAGGACCGGAAAAAUGGAGCCAAUACCCUGCGGCACGCUCCUUUUUCACCUGCUGAAAUAAACUAAAUUAGGUAAGAAAAAAUUACCUAAAACCCGAGAUAAGGGUU
Molecule: ribosomal RNA, 1678 nt
Filed under: Cirrhigaleus australis (southern Mandarin dogfish)
Lineage: Eukaryota; Metazoa; Chordata; Chondrichthyes; Squaliformes; Squalidae
Description: 16S ribosomal RNA
Rfam family: Bacterial large subunit ribosomal RNA
Source: RNAcentral